RNAcentral lists this ribosomal RNA (465 nucleotides) under uncultured bacterium. RNAcentral describes it as "partial 16S ribosomal RNA". It matches the Rfam family "Bacterial small subunit ribosomal RNA", at positions 28 to 507 of the family's 1533-position model. The record is from RNAcentral.
GACGAACGCUGGCGGCGUGCUUAACACAUGCAAGUCGAACGGAAAGGCCCUGCUUGCAGGGUACUCGAAUGGCGAACGGGUGAGUAACACGUGGGUGAUCUGCCCUGCACUUCGGGAUAAGCCGGGGAAACUGGGUCUAAUACCGGAUAGGAGCCAUUUUUAGUGUGAUGGUUGGAAAGUUUUUUCGGUGUAGGAUGAGCUCGCGGCCUAUCAGCUUGUUGGUGGGGGAAUGGCCUACCAAGGCGGCGACGGGUAGCCGGCCUGAGUGGGUGGACGGGCACAUUGGGAUUGAGACACGGCCCAGACUCCUACGGGAGGCAGCAGCGGCGAAUAUGGAAAAAGGGGCGUAAGCCUGAUGCAGCGACGCCGCGUGGGGGAGGACGGCCUUCGGGUUGUAAACGUCUUUCGCUAGCGAAGAAGCAUUUUGUGACGGUACCUAGAUAAGAAGCACCGGCUAAAUACGUG